Molecule: transfer RNA, 68 nt
Filed under: Tarebia granifera
Lineage: Eukaryota; Metazoa; Mollusca; Gastropoda; Thiaridae
Description: tRNA-Thr
Source: RNAcentral
GUAAGUGCAGCUCGUUAGCGAGCAUCGGUCUUGUAAGUCGAAGGUUAAAUUAAACUAUUUCACUUGCU